Molecule: ribosomal RNA, 721 nt
Filed under: uncultured bacterium
Lineage: Bacteria
Description: bacterial SSU rRNA
Rfam family: Bacterial small subunit ribosomal RNA
Source: RNAcentral
CAAGUCGAACGAAGAUCGUUAUAAAAAGGAUUGAAGAUUUAUCGGAUUGAGAUUUUAUAACAAUGGUCUUAGUGGCGGACUGGUGAGUAACGCGUAAGGAACCUGCCUUUUAGAGGGGAAUAACAAUGAGAAAUCAUUGCUAAUACCGCAUAUGCCAUAGUUAUCACAUGAUAAUAGUGGGAAAGGAGCAAUUCGCUAAAAGAUGGCCUUGCGUCUGAUUAGAUAGUUGGUAAGGUAACGGCUUACCAAGUCGACGAUCAGUAGCCGGACUGAGAGGUUGAACGGCCACAUUGGGACUGAGAUACGGCCCAGACUCCUACGGGAGGCAGCAGUCGGGAAUAUUGCGCAAUGGAGGAAACUCUGACGCAGUGACGCCGCGUAUAGGAAGAAGGUUUUCGGAUUGUAAACUAUUGUCGUUAGGGAAGAGAAAGGACAGUACCUAAGGAGGAAGCUCCGGCUAACUACGUGCCAGCAGCCGCGGUAAUACGUAGGGAGCGAGCGUUAUCCGGAAUUAUUGGGUGUAAAGGGUGCGUAGACGGGAAAGCAAGUUAGUUGUGAAAUCCCUCGGCUUAACUGAGGAACUGCAACUAAAACUACUUUUCUUGAGUGCAGGAGAGGUAAGUGGAAUUCCUAGUGUAGCGGUGAAAUGCGUAGAUAUUAGGAGGAACACCAGUGGCGAAGGCGGCUUACUGGACUGUAACUGACGUUGAGGCUCGAAAGC